This is a non-coding RNA of Macaca mulatta (Rhesus monkey), 593 nucleotides long. NCBI's taxonomy places the organism in Eukaryota, Metazoa, Chordata, Mammalia, Primates, Cercopithecidae. The record is from RefSeq and is a predicted model, not a curated record.
AGCUUCUUCUCUUUGUCCUCAAGAAAAAAAAGAUACAUUCCAGAUAAUUUCACGCGAUGAAAGAGGAAGAAGCGCUGAAGUAGCAAAGGAAAUAAAUUAACGCCAUCUCAGCUAAAAUCACACACAAUUAAAACCUGGAUCUGAAUGUACUUUCCUGUUCAGAGAGAGCAGCUUGAAAAUGACAUGCAUUAGUCAUUCACUCCAGCCACCCGACUCAAUGUACGGGGACGCCACACGGUCUCUGAUGGCGGGGCUGCCGGAAGGAAAGGGGAAGGGUUCCUGACCCCAGUCUUCAGCUCUCUGUUCUCUCGUCUGGAGUCUGAAAAUCCCACUCCUCCGUGGCAGAGGCAUCCAAACGAGCCAGAAAAAAAAAAACAAAAAACAAAAAAAAAACAAUCUUCAGCAAAGGAGAUGGGUUAAUGUGCCUGAAAAAAAGAAGACAGAAAAGACUUCACGAACCAAAAGGUCCCCAGGUGCCGACAUACGACAUACCAAGGCCAGUGACCAGUGACGGGCUGUUCUUCAUGUCCCCUGAGGGUAAAAUAGGAAGGAAUGUGGUUUGUGGCAGGAGUAAGAAUAAAAUAUAAGGAUGA